RNAcentral lists this ribosomal RNA (253 nucleotides) under uncultured bacterium. RNAcentral describes it as "partial 16S ribosomal RNA". It matches the Rfam family "Bacterial small subunit ribosomal RNA", at positions 524 to 776 of the family's 1533-position model. The record is from RNAcentral.
UACGGGGGGGGCAAGCGUUGUUCGGAAUUACUGGGCGUAAAGGGCUCGUAGGCGGCCAACUAAGUCGGAUGUGAAAUCCCCAGGCUCAACUUGGGAACUGCAUCCGAUACUGGAUGGCUUGAAUUCGGGAGAGGGAUGCAGAAUUCCAGGUGUAGCGGUGAAAUGCGUAGAUAUCUGGAGGAAUACCGGUGGCGAAGGCGGCAUCCUGGACCGACAUUGACGCUGAGGCGCGAAAGCCAGGGGAGCAAACGGG